Non-coding RNA from Vicia faba (fava bean), 315 nucleotides. The record is from the annotation of a GenBank genome assembly. Lineage: Eukaryota; Viridiplantae; Streptophyta; Magnoliopsida; Fabales; Fabaceae.
AUGCCAAUAUGGAAAACUAUGCAACCAACUUUGCCUUGUUGCACCAAUAUCCAAAAUAUUCCUUUGUCUGCUGUCCAAAAUCAGCUGUUACAAAUCUUGCAAAGCAUGCUUCACAACACUUCAAAAACUUUAAAAAACCGGCAUAAUAAUGCCAAACAAACUGUCAAAAAACCAGUCCAACACCUACUUUGCUUCCCAUGCCUUGUCCCAAUCCAUUUUCCAACUUGUAGCCAUCAAAACUUGCACAAAACCUGUCCAACUUGUAACCACCAAAACAACAAAAAAAACAAGUUGGUGCCUUAUGCUUAUGCUGCC